Molecule: ribosomal RNA, 874 nt
Filed under: uncultured bacterium
Lineage: Bacteria
Description: bacterial SSU rRNA
Rfam family: Bacterial small subunit ribosomal RNA
Source: RNAcentral
GUUUGAUCCUGGCUCGAAUGAACGCUGGCGGCAGGCCUAACACAUGCAAGUCGAACGGAGUUAUAUUGUAGCUUGCUAUGGUAUAACUUAGUGGCAGACGGGUGAGUAAUGUAUAGGAAUCUACCUAGUAGUACGGAAUAAUUGUUGGAAACGGCAACUAAUACCGUAUACGCCCUACGGGGGAAAAAUUUAUUGCUAUUAGAUGAGCCUAUAUUAGAUUAGCUAGUUGGUGGAGUAAUAGCCUACCAAGGCAAUGAUCUAUAGCUGAUCUGAGAGGAUGAUCAGCCACACUGGAACUGAGAUACGGUCCAGACUCCUACGGGAGGCAGCAGUGGGGAAUAUUGGACAAUGGGCGAAAGCCUGAUCCAGCCAUGCCGCAUGAGUGAAGAAGGCCUUUGGGUUGUAAAGCUCUUUUAGUGAGGAAGAUAAUGACGGUACUCACAGAAGAAGUCCUGGCUAACUCCGUGCCAGCAGCCGCGGUAAUACGGAGAGGGCUAGCGUUAUUCGGAAUUAUUGGGCGUAAAGGGCGCGUAGGCGGAUUAGUAAGUUAAAAGUGAAAUCCCAAGGCUCAACCUUGGAAUUGCUUUUAAAACUGCUAAUCUAGAGAUUGAAAGAGGAUAGAGGAAUUCCUAGUGUAGAGGUGAAAUUCAUAAAUAUUAGGAGGAACACCAGUGGCGAAGGCGUCUAUCUGGUUCAAAUCUGACGCUGAGGCGCGAAGGCGUGGGGAGCAAACAGGAUUAGAUACCCUGGUAGUCCACGCUGUAAACGAUGAAUGUUAAAUAUGGGAAGUUUUACUUUCUGUAUUACAGCUAACGCGUUAAACAUUCCGCCUGGGGACUACGGUCGCAAGAUUAAAACUCAAAGGAAUUGACGG